RNAcentral lists this ribosomal RNA (503 nucleotides) under uncultured bacterium. RNAcentral's name for it is "bacterial SSU rRNA". It matches the Rfam family "Bacterial small subunit ribosomal RNA", at positions 28 to 517 of the family's 1533-position model. The record is from RNAcentral.
GAUGAACGCUAGCUACAGGCUUAACACAUGCAAGUCGAGGGGCAGCACAGAGAUAGCUUGCUAUCUUGGGUGGCGACCGGCGCACGGGUGAGUAACGCGUAUCCAACCUGCCCAUUACUCUGGGAUAGCCUUGCGAAAGUAAGAUUAAUACCGGAUGUUGUUAAAAACCCGCAUGAGUUUUUAACCAAAGAUUUAUUGGUAAUGGAUGGGGAUGCGUGACAUUAGGUAGUAGGUGAGGUAACGGCUCACCUAGCCGACGAUGUCUAGGGGUUCUGAGAGGAAGGUCCCCCCACACUGGAACUGAGACACGGUCCAGACUCCUACGGGAGGCAGCAGUGAGGAAUAUUGGUCAAUGGACGAGAGUCUGAACCAGCCAAGUAGCGUGAAGGAAGACUGCCCUAUGGGUUGUAAACUUCUUUUAGUUCGGGUAAUAAAGUGCAGUACGCGUACUGUUUUGUAUGUACCGUUCGAAUAAGCAUCGGCUAAUUCCGUGCCAGCAGCCG